CAAAUUGAAAGCAUCAUGAAUUUCGCAUCCAUAAUUGUUGGUCUAAUUGCCUUAGUCGGUUAUUCGCAAGCCAGAAGAACUGGAUGGGGAAGCUAUCCUCGUCCAUCGUCAUCCUCAACCUAAAUGGGAAACUACAAGAGUCUAGCAAAAAAAUU
Molecule: long non-coding RNA, 155 nt
Organism: Musca domestica (house fly)
Lineage: Eukaryota; Metazoa; Arthropoda; Insecta; Diptera; Muscidae
Exons: 2
Source: RefSeq, a predicted model, not a curated record